UGGAAGAUGGAAGCCAAAACUG
RNAcentral lists this non-coding RNA (22 nucleotides) under Arabidopsis thaliana (thale cress). The record is from RNAcentral. Lineage: Eukaryota; Viridiplantae; Streptophyta; Magnoliopsida; Brassicales; Brassicaceae.